Molecule: ribosomal RNA, 408 nt
Filed under: uncultured bacterium
Lineage: Bacteria
Description: partial 16S ribosomal RNA
Rfam family: Bacterial small subunit ribosomal RNA
Source: RNAcentral
GACGAACGCUGGCGGCGUGCUUAACACAUGCAAGUCGAACGAAGUGGCGAACGGGUGAGUAAAGCGUAAUCAACCUGCCCUUCAGAGGGGGACCACAGUUGGAAACGACUGCUAAUACCGCAUACUUACGGAGGGGAUUGCGUCUGAUUAGCUAGUUGGAGGGGUAACGGCCCACCAAGGCGAUGAUCAGUAGCCGGGCGGAGAGGAGGAACGGCCACAUUGGGACUGAGACACGGCCCAGACUCCUACGGGAGGCAGCAGUGGGGAAUCGUCCGCAAUGGACGAAAUUCUGACGGAGCAACGCCGCGUGAGUGAUGACGGCCUUCGGGUUGUAAAGCUCUGUUAAUCGGGACGAGGUACCGGAAUAGAAAGCCACGGCUAACUACGUGCCAGCAGCCGCGGUAAUUC